Haliotis rubra (blacklip abalone) is the source of this 253-nucleotide long non-coding RNA. RefSeq lists it as uncharacterized. NCBI's taxonomy places the organism in Eukaryota, Metazoa, Mollusca, Gastropoda, Lepetellida, Haliotidae. The transcript has 2 exons. The record is from RefSeq and is a predicted model, not a curated record.
UUAAGGCAAAGUCCCAAUCUUGCUGAAAUUUGUCUCUUACAUUUUCCUUAUUUAAUUCACAUUUGCAGAUCUCAAUCCAUUAUCCACUUACUAUAGACAUACUGCUGGCCUUACAACAUGUGACAAAAAAGAAUAUUGCUUCACAAAUGUCAAACUGAGCAGACAGGUUAAACUAUGAUUUUGUUAAAUCAUAUCCAAAAUGGAAUGGGUAUUCUUUUUGUAUAUCAAACACAAAUAUAAAGGCAAAAAUUCA